This 1007-nucleotide long non-coding RNA is filed under the name Sinocyclocheilus grahami. RNAcentral describes it as "lncRNA (ENSSGRG00000049719.1)". Lineage: Eukaryota; Metazoa; Chordata; Actinopteri; Cypriniformes; Cyprinidae. The record is from RNAcentral.
GGACUCUGUCUUCUUUGACUUGGAAAUCUUCUCUGGUUCAUUUCCUCUGUUGAGUCCAUCAAGGUCAGAAAUUGAAGUCUAAUUCUAAUCGAAAACAACACUGACACUGUUUUUUCAUGUUUAAUACUGUAAAGCUGUUUGGUUUAAAAAUAUAUAUUGUAUAAAGUGCUAUAUAAAUAAACAUGACGUGACUUUGUGCCGAACUGCAGAGCUCAUGCAAACGUAUCCAUGACUAUGUUCAGAUACUUUCUUAACUGCUGUUUUCUCACUGCUGUCAUUUUGUUGUUUAUUUUGUUAUUGAGAGUAAAGCGCAGAGCACAUAUUAGUGGUUCUUAGACUUUGCCAAACAAAUUCAUUACGAAAAAGCCAUGUUUUUUCCCAUCUUAUUGUGUUAUCUCUGUGUUCUUAGAGAUAGAGAUCCUGUUUGUUCCCCUUUCAAAGCAUCUAUCCUUUUAGCUGGUCAACUACAGUGGGACAAAUGAAGGGCAUCCAGUGGUCUGGCAGAGCUUUGAUCAGCACUGUUUCUUCCAGGAACAAUAUUGCUAUCUUGCUGUGGAUUCCUCAUAUUGAGUCCGUACUGCAACCCAUCCAACCAGAGAUUGACUCUUGAUGUUGAAUCAUGAUAUGUCAAAGAGUAUUGAUUCAGACACAUACAGCAAUUCCCCCUCCGCACUUCAAUCGCUGCCCGGGGGGCAAAAACAGAAGGAGACUCGUGAAGUAUAUCUUGACCUACUGCCAUCUCUUCACAAGGUUUCUGCUUAACCCUAAGGUCAUGCCCCUCCACUCCACAACACAAUAUUUAUGUUUAUCCAGCACAAACCCACGAGAGACUCUCCUCAACACAUAUCUGCAUGUGUUACUUCAUUUGAAGUUAGAAUGGCAGUACAAAUCUCUAAGCAUGAGGAAAAACCAGAUGAGUUGUGUACAAAUACAUCCUUGACCCCUGACCUUGAGAUGGUCACUCUCAUAAUUAACUCCUCUUGUCUUUUGAUAUUCAAAUCCCAUCC